This 797-nucleotide ribosomal RNA is filed under the name uncultured Glomus. RNAcentral's name for it is "SSU rRNA". It matches the Rfam family "Eukaryotic small subunit ribosomal RNA", at positions 314 to 1114 of the family's 1831-position model. Lineage: Eukaryota; Fungi; Glomeromycota; Glomeromycetes; Glomerales; Glomeraceae. The record is from RNAcentral.
AUCAACUUUCGAUGGUGGAUAGAGGCCUACCAUGGUGGUAACGGGUAACGGGGUGUUAGGGCACGACACCGGAGAGGGAGCCUGAGAAACGGCUACCACAUCCAAGGAAGGCAGCAGGCGCGCAAAUUACCCAAUCCCGACACGGGGAGGUAGUGACAAUAAAUAACAAUACAGGGUUCUUUCGGAUUUUGUAAUUGGAAUGAGUACAAUUUAAAUCUCUUAACGAGGAACAAUUGGAGGGCAAGUCUGGUGCCAGCAGCCGCGGUAAUUCCAGCUCCAAUAGCGUAUAUUAAAGUUGUUGCAGUUAAAAAGCUCGUAGUUGAAUUUCGGGAUCAAUACGUCGGUCGUGCUUCGGUACGUACUGGCGUCAUUGAUUUCUCCCUUCUGACGAACCAUGAUGUCAUUAACUUGGUGUCAUGGGAAAUCAGGACUGUUACUUUGAAAAAAUUAGAGUGUUUAAAGCAGGCUCACGCUUGAAUACAUUAGCAUGGAAUAAUGAAAUAGGACGUUCGAUCCUAUUUUGUUGGUUUCUAGGAUCAACGUAAUGAUUAAUAGGGAUAGUUGGGGGCAUUAGUAUUCAAUUGUCAGAGGUGAAAUUCUUGGAUUUAUUGAAGACUAACUACUGCGAAAGCAUUUGCCAAGGAUGUUUUCAUUAAUCAAGAACGAAAGUUAGGGGAUCGAAGACGAUCAGAUACCGUCGUAGUCUUAACCAUAAACUAUGCCGACUAGGGAUCGGAUGAUGUUAAUUAUUUAAUGACUCAUUCGGCGCCUUACGGGAAACCAAAGUGUUUGGGUUC